This 455-nucleotide ribosomal RNA is filed under the name uncultured bacterium. RNAcentral's name for it is "bacterial SSU rRNA". It matches the Rfam family "Bacterial small subunit ribosomal RNA", at positions 1 to 507 of the family's 1533-position model. The record is from RNAcentral.
AGUAGUUUGAUCAUGGCUCAAGAACGAACGCUGGCGGCAUGCCUAACACAUGCAAGUCGAACGAGACCUUCGGGUCUAGUGGCGCACGGGUGCGUAACGCGUGGGAAUCUGCCCUUGGGUUCGGAAUAACAGUUAGAAAUGACUGCUAAUACCGGAUAAUGUCUUCGGACCAAAGAUUUAUCGCCCAGGGAUGAGCCCGCGUAGGAUUAGCUAGUUGGUGAGGUAAAGGCUCACCAAGGCGACGAUCCUUAGCUGGUCUGAGAGGAUGAUCAGCCACACUGGGACUGAGACACGGCCCAGACUCCUACGGGAGGCAGCAGUGGGGAAUAUUGGACAAUGGGCGAAAGCCUGAUCCAGCAAUGCCGCGUGAGUGAUGAAGGCCUUAGGGUUGUAAAGCUCUUUUACCCGGGAUGAUAAUGACAGUACCGGGAGAAUAAGCCCCGGCUAACUCCGUG